CUUGAAAUCACAUUAGUUGUAUUAUCAAGGGGGAAAAUUUGGAAAAUGUGGAUCUGCCACUCAUACUUCCCUGCCCUGAUAAUGUUUUCAGCAUCUAACAGAUCAUAUAUUAAGUCACUAACCAGAUUAGCCACCUGCUCCGCAUUUCUAGGACUCACCACCUUUCCCAUGAUGCUCCACUUCAGCUCAAAGACACCAGACUUUGGGACAACGGUUGUCUCCUCAAGCCUUCGUUUUCUGGAGAGCCACUUACCAAACAAGUCUUCUUUGGGCUGGGAUCAAUAAGUAUUUGUUGUUGCUGAUGAAGCAAACAAAAAAAAGUUAGCAGGGAGUUGAAACCCAAGACAAAUGAAGAAAUGCUAAGAGGAUACAUCUAACUG
This 380-nucleotide long non-coding RNA is filed under the name Monodelphis domestica (gray short-tailed opossum). RNAcentral's name for it is "lncRNA (ENSMODG00000044756.1)". The record is from RNAcentral. Lineage: Eukaryota; Metazoa; Chordata; Mammalia; Didelphimorphia; Didelphidae.